Molecule: ribosomal RNA, 394 nt
Filed under: uncultured Oscillospiraceae bacterium
Lineage: Bacteria; Bacillati; Bacillota; Clostridia; Eubacteriales; Oscillospiraceae
Description: bacterial SSU rRNA
Rfam family: Bacterial small subunit ribosomal RNA
Source: RNAcentral
UGGGGAAUAUUGGGCAAUGGGCGAAAGCCUGACCCAGCAACGCCGCGUGAAGGAAGAAGGUUUUCGGAUUGUAAACUUCUUUUAUCAGGGACGAAGAAAGUGACGGUACCUGAUGAAUAAGCCACGGCUAACUACGUGCCAGCAGCUGCGGUAAUACGUAGGUGGCAAGCGUUAUCCGGAUUUACUGGGUGUAAAGGGCGCGUAGGCGGGGAUGCAAGUCAGAUGUGAAAUCUAUGGGCUUAACCCAUAAACUGCAUUUGAAACUGUAUCUCUUGAGUGUCGGAGAGGUAGACGGAAUUCCUAGUGUAGCGGUGAAAUGCGUAGAUAUCACGAAGAACUCCGAUUGCGAAGGCAGCUCGCUGUAGCAUUACUGACGCUGAAGCUCGAAGGUGCG